AUGCAGCACUGCUCGGACGUCUGCUGGAACCCCUCGGCAGCCAUCCUCUCAGAAACAUGCUGGAAAACAUUUUCAUUUCUCACCAUGCCAUCGAGUUCCCCUUGCACCCUAUCUUCACUGAUGCUACCCAGAAAGUUCGUUGUUGCAGAUCUCGUCCAGUCUGUAUUUUUGGAUAUUCCUCGCCCACCUUGGAUUCACCUGCACUGGGUUGGAGAAUUACAGCGGCUUGAGCGGGCUGGACUUUAUUCCACUGAAGUUAUUAUCCGAUCGUCUUCCAACUCUUCUCACUGCUUGUUGUAUAUCAAAUAAACCCAUUUAAGCUCUUGCACUUGGAUCUCGAGGCUUGAUCAUUGUGACAAUAGGUCUCCUGUUAUUUUCUAAGCUUCUUAAACACAUCUAAGCAUUAGUCCCAGAAGUUGAAGCCACCAGAAGUUUAACCAUAAUAAUGCAAAGAUUAUAUGGGCAAACAAAUUUGUGAAUAGAUAUAAAAUACCCAACGAUGUUCCUGCAUAUUUACAUAUAUGUAUUAAAUGUUAUUAUAUAUGUAAAUAUUAAAAUUAAACAGUAAACAUUAAAAAUUAAACAUAUAUUGUUUUUAUGUAUGGUCACUACAUAUAAUAAUAAAAAAAUCAUAAUAUACAUAUAAAUACAAUCUUACUAUGUGUAUUUUGUAUGUUACAAACUUGUAUCUUCAUAUAUCCAAAAGGUAUGAUGUAUGUGAUAAAACAAUGGCUAAUGUGGAAAUAUCACUGUAGAUAAAGGACAGACUGUGUCAUAUUACAUUUGUUUAAUU
Long non-coding RNA from Cyprinus carpio carpio, 793 nucleotides. Lineage: Eukaryota; Metazoa; Chordata; Actinopteri; Cypriniformes; Cyprinidae. The record is from Ensembl.